AAAAUACAUAUUUAUCAAUAUAUUGACAUACUUAUAAUUUUGUUGACCUUGUUAAUUAUCAUAUUUAGUGUUUCAUCUUUAUUUCCAUUGUCGUUGAUAAUCUUGGUAAAGAUUGAAAAUUGUUUCGCCAGUAAUGAUAGAUCAACACACCCAUAAUGUUUAAAGCACAACUGCCAAAGACCAAUAUACUGCUUGUCGGCAUACUCAAAUAGUUCAAUGAGAGCGUCAGUUUCCACAGAUAUCGAAAUCCAAAUCGGCGUUGAAAAUCCAAGGACAAGCAAAGCAAGUGUAACCACUGUCAAAACAAAGAUAGAUUUGUUUGCUCUUGUUAAAGUCGUCCAUUUUGUUGAGUAUGGCAUAAUUAUUUCCCUUUUUUUUCACGUGCACAAA
RNAcentral lists this long non-coding RNA (390 nucleotides) under Mytilus galloprovincialis (Mediterranean mussel). Lineage: Eukaryota; Metazoa; Mollusca; Bivalvia; Mytilida; Mytilidae. The record is from RNAcentral.